AACAUGUCUCAGGAGCCAGUUUCCUCAACUAUCCGAUGAAGCGUUUUGUGGGAAGAAUGAGGAUUAUAACAAUGUUAUCACAAAUUCAGAGAGUAUCUGUUUCUCCGCCAAGAAGUGGACUAAACCCUUUUGUUCAGAAAAUAUCUGAUAAUAAUAUCUCUGUGCGUGAAUAGAGUGGGAGUCCCAUAAGAUGUGUUGAUGAAUUCUUAGUUGAUGUUUCAAACUCAGAAUCUGGUUAUCUUUCAAACUCAACUAAUACCAGCCUAAAAGUAGCUGAUAGUAUUCCUCAAUCUCCUAAUAGUGCUGGAGAUUCAAAGGAAUUUGACGCUAACAUUGCAAGUAAAGAUGCAAGACAAGUCGAGAUUCCAGAAGAUGCAGCCCGUGUUGUUGUAGAGCAAGCUGAAAAGGAUAAUAAGGGAAACUCCCCAUACAAUCAGAAAGAUAUUGUGGUUUGCAGUACCAAUACUGAUCCUGAUCUUCCACCUACCGAUUUAUGUACAGAGAUUGUUCCCUACUUGCCUGCUCAUAGUUCAUCGCAUUAUUAUUAUGGUGACUUACACAUGGCUCUGCUUCCAGGGAUUGACCGCACUAUGUUGGAUGAAGCUUCUAAUAUACAGAUCAAAUCAUUGGAGACUGCACGUGAUUGCAGAAAUGAUAGUGAUAAGAUUAGCACAAUGCCAGUUGCAUCAGAUGAAAGCAUUGUGGCAGCAUGAUUCUCAAACCAAGGUCGUGCUGGGUAGCUUGAAGCUGCUUAUGAGUUGUUAUUAACGAUACCUAUUAAGGCCAAUUCUGUAGUAUGGAGAGCAUUCUUGGCUGCCUCCCGUCUCCACGGUAAUGCAGAUCUUGCUGAGGUGUCUGUCAAACAGCAUCAGCUUAACCACCUGGGGCUGGGGGAUAUGUAAUGCAACUAAGGACUAUGCUUCUCCUUUUGAUGAUGAUGAAUGAUGAUGGUCAUGGAACGAAAACCCGCAGCCGUAAGUGGUUUGCGUAAGAAGUUGUUUAAAGGUUAGACCUUUUCUGCUGGUGGUGGUGUGAAGAAAGAGGAAGGACGUGGAAAGAAAGCUUUAAUGGAGGUUAAAGGGAAUACUUGGACAUUAGGGAUGGUGCUAAGAAGUGAGAGGGAGCUGUUUGAGUAUGAAUAAGGAGCAGGAAGAUCAGAUUGUUGAGCUUAAGUUGAUGCUUGAGGAGAAAAAUCGAGAGGUUGAGAAGCUUAAGGAUUUGUGCUUAAAGCAAAGGGAAGAGAUAAAGUCACUGAGGAUGUUAUGAAUUCUCAAGUUCAGGAUCUUUUGGAAAAGCAGCUUAUACCGAAUCUUCAAAGGCAGGUUACUUCUCUUACAGGGCAACUACAAUGCCUAGCCGAAGAUCUUGCUGAGGCCAAGGAUACUGUAAUUUUCACAGGUCAAAGCAGACAAAUAUGCUAUAAGAGGAAGCUACGACUGAGACUUGGUGGAACUUUAAAUAUUAGUGAUACUAACAAUUAGGACACGGGUUCAGUUUUUUCUUUUUUUUUUUUUUUUUUUUUUUUUUACUGCUUUGUAAAUGUUGUUAAGUUUUCCACUAUUUACUCACUUUAGAUAAUGGUAGCUAAUUGUUAGGGCAUUACUAGCUAGUUUCUUUUUACUGGU
Molecule: long non-coding RNA, 1625 nt
Organism: Capsicum annuum
Lineage: Eukaryota; Viridiplantae; Streptophyta; Magnoliopsida; Solanales; Solanaceae
Exons: 7
Source: RefSeq, a predicted model, not a curated record